UACAGAGGGUGCAAGCGUUGUUCGGAAUUAUUGGGCGUAAAGCGCGUGUAGGCGGCUUUGCAAGUCGGGUGUGAAAUCCCUCGGCUCAACCGAGGAAGUGCGCCCCGAAACUGCAGAGCUUGAGUACCGGAGAGGAUGGCGGAAUUCCCGAAGUAGAGGUGAAAUUCGUAGAGAUCCGGAGGAACACCAGUGGCGAAAGCGGCCACCUGGACUGCACCUGACGCUGAAACGCGAAAAGCUAGGGGAGCGAACGGG
RNAcentral lists this ribosomal RNA (255 nucleotides) under uncultured bacterium. RNAcentral's name for it is "partial 16S ribosomal RNA". It matches the Rfam family "Bacterial small subunit ribosomal RNA", at positions 524 to 776 of the family's 1533-position model. The record is from RNAcentral.